GGGUUAGCAUUCCGUAUAGCAGUUCGUGGGUUGCGUUUCAAUGUCAGGAAACCACACCCACCAAUAGCUUUGCAUGUGAAAUACCGGUGCGUGGGAGUUUCUCCCAGUUUUAAUUUCGCGUUAACUGUCUGCCUUCGAAAAACGUGAAAAUUUCCCACUGUACGGUAAUAGGUAAUUGAAAAUAAUAGGCAUCAAUGUCCAUGCACUUUUGGUAAAAACAUUAUUGCAAUGAAUGUUACAAGUCAGCAAGAUAACAAAUACAGUUGUGUUCAUUUUUGUACGUCUUAAAUGAAUAGAAUAAUAGGUGAAAAAAGUAUAAUUAAUUAUCAGAGCCUACAUGUAUGUAUAUUGGAUACUCCAAGGUUGAAAGGUCGGAGAAAAAACCAUAUAGUUAGCUGUUCUAAUGGUUGGUUCAAUUUCACAUUAUGCAAUUGUUAUAAAAAUUAAUGAUCAUUAUGGCCGUGCAUGCAACAAAUACAUAAACUCAUGCAAAAUAACUCCUUGGGUGAGAUCAAGAAGGGGCCUUCUAUCUUUGUUUGUUCUUACUCUUCCUGGUUGAUACUUUCGCGGCAUCUACACAUACAAAGAGAAAGUUGAGAUGGUGGAAAGUAGUUCACAUAAACCCUAAGUACAUGUAACAAGUACCACUAACAAACGUACAUAAUUAUAUGCACCCAAUGACUUAAUGUGCGCAUCAUUGUAAAAAAUAUAUGGCCCCCUGAAAGUUGGUGUGUUCUUCUGAAAAUUAUAAUUCGAUGUAUUAUAAAUUAUGGCUUCAUUUGGUAAUAAUAGGGGGUGACAGAUUCUUUUCCUUCGACCUUUCAAAACCGACUGCUCGGAAUGUCGUUAAAUUUUUUUAGGGUGUAUGCUAGGGCACCCUAGCUUAUUUAUGAACUGUGAAAUUUGGGGGCUCCAAUGGAUAUGUAGUGACAUCUGAUUCACGUUCAUCUGCACACUGCACACUGAUAGGAGGCGAUCUUUUCACAAAAAUUGAGACAAUAACGAGUUGAUCCUCUUCACUUGCACUCUUUACUCACUAUUAACCAAUUCUGUGCAUUGCGUAAACGUCAUCAAUUGUGAGUUGCUCACGUGCAGUUGACAAGAUGUCACGUUACUUUGUGCACAGUUUUUGUGUAGAGGUAUCAGUAGUUCGACACUCUAGCUUGAACAAGGACAACCUCUGUGCAACUAAUAAUUUAUUAGCAGCAGUUAAUUUUUAUAGUGCACUAGUGCAUUUGUCACAUCUGCCAAGCCUUGCUUACAAAAAAAUUUAUGGCUCGUUGCAAUCCCUUUGAUUUACCUGGGCACUAUUGGAGAAGUCGCAAGAACAACUUAAGACCUGUCACUGAAUGGAUGUGUGAGAAAGCUCCACGACUUUCUAUUUCCUCCAAGAUCUAUGACACCUAGCCGAAAGAAGAUUAGCAAUCAGAUACCACCACUUCAACCCCUUCUCCCUGAACCUGCUUCCCCAUCACCGACUGUAAUAUUGACAAUGUGCCAACAUCUGUCUCCACCAAUGAAGGGAAGAAAUUGUUGAAACACCUUAUUCCAAGAGUAUAAAGUCCGUGGAAAAACUAAACAUGAAGAGGAUUACAGAAGCAAUGCAGCACACAGUUAUCACUGGCAAAAUUUUAGCUCAAAGAAGUAACAUCAAAAACAAAUGAACGUUAGCAAAUUCUCACUGUUUUGCCGACGGUGCAUGAAGAAGAUUCAGGAGGAAUUAGCACAAAGGUCAAAGAAGAUUGUCCCUAAUUCCAAGCCCAAAAACUGAUCAUUCGAUCACUUGUGGUAGACUGUUGAUUUUGUCCACUAUGAUAAUAUAUAUAUGUAUCAGUAUGGUAUGAAAGAUUUCGUAUCUGUUAGAAAAACGGCAAGCAUACCCAUAUUCAAGUUCUAAGCAACUUAAAAGAGGCAUACAGCAAGUUUAAUUAAGCAGAAAUUCCCUGAUCAAAAGGUUGGCUUUUCGAGCAUUAUGGCACACACUCAGUGUGUGUGUGCACUAGUCUAUACAUCAAAACGUGAAAUUAUGAGAUGCGACUGUCAGCUAGACCAAUAUUGUUUAGCAAGAAUCAUGUGGUAUCUUGUAUGUAAGGCUUGAGUAAGAUCUGUGUCUGCUGUGCCUGCUGUGUCCUCAGUGCCUUUUGUGUCCUCAGUCUGACUGUCUGCUGUGUCCUCAGUAUCUGCUGUGUCUGCAGUGUCCGCUGUGUCCUCAGUAUGCCGUGUCCUCUGUGUCUGCUGUGUCCACAGUGUCUCUUGUGUCUGCAUGCAGUUGUCUGCUGUGUCGUCUGCAUGGUUGUAAUUAUUUUAUCUCUCUAAACAUAGUUCUCAUACAGUGGAUCCUGUGCUAUUGUAUUUCGUUUAACCUUAGCAAUGCAGUCUUGGUUACUGAGCCGCCUUAUUCCUUCUUGAAGAUGACCUAACAUUGGAGCAAUUAUACCUUCUCAUGCUGGAGAUCACAGACCAUCUAUUUGCCCCUGACAUUUAGACAGAUGAAGUUGCUUACUAGCUUUUUGUGAGUUCUACCCUGCUGCUAUUGUAAUUCCAAAAAUGCACUAUCUGAUCUGAUACAUGCACCGACACUGAUCAUGGAGUAAGUGUGCAUGUGCAUAAACACUGAUCAUGGAGUAAGUGUGCAUGUGCAUAAAAAGUAUACAAUAUAUACAUGAACUGUCACAAAAAUGUUGGUCCGCCGAUAAUUUCAGUACCCGGACUGAAAUGUUCGGUCCCCCGGACCAAUUUUAGCUGAUAAUGUUGGUUCGCCAAUCUGAUAGAAGAGGUAUUCCACUAUGUCACCACCAAGGAGUACCCUGAUGACUGUAAAGAGGGAAAAAAAAGGGUCAUCAGAAGAAAGGCCAAGCAAUUUGUAUUGAACAAUGGUGACUUCAUGUACAAACACAAGAGAACGGACAGAGUGCGUUGGUGUAUCUGUAAUGUAGUUGAAAUUACAAUCAUUACAAGAGUGGCCAUCUCUAGGUAUAUAUAACGCGUCAUCUAUGUUCGAUUCUUCUGGUAUUAUAGCUCCUAUUGCCUUCUCAAUCUUGAUGUGUUGAUCCAAUACAUUAUCAACCGAAGAGAGAGAAGGAAGAUACUGUUUGCUUGCCAAGUUGAUGAAACAUCUGGACGUAUGGGGGUGACUCGCACACUUGCCCGAAUUAAGGAGCGUUACAUAAAGGACGUGAAAGAAAUGGUGUCUGUCUACUUGUGACAUUUGCCAGUGAGUUAAUCAAAAGCUAACCACUGGCAGACCCGAACUUCACCCCAUCCGUGUGCAGUUUCCUUGGUACAUGCUAGGAAUUGAUUUUGUUGGUCCUCUCUCUCCAAUUGCUAACGAUGGUUCCCGCUACAUCUUAACCAUGAGCGAUUACUUUACCAAGUGGGUAGAAGCUAUUCCUACACCUGACAAGAGUGCAUCAUCAGCAGCAACAUCAUUGUUCAAGAUCAAGGAUGUGAAUUCAACAAUGAUUUAGACACUAUAGUCUCUGUUCUCUCCUGGGGAUACAGCGUCACCUUACAACUCCUUACCGCCCCCUCAGACUAACGGCUUGGACGAGCGUUUCAAUCAGACAACACUGCAAAACAUGCUAGUGAAGUUUAUGCGUGAAGACUGAAGUAGCUACCUGGACACAUGUGUUUUCGCAUACAAUACCUCUCGUCAUAAUUCAACGAAGUUUACUCUUUUUAAACUUAUGUUCAAUCGUCAAGACAGUCUCAAGCAUUUCUCCUGACCAAGCUGCUCGCGAGUAUCAGCAGUAAAUGCCCAAUCUAAAUGUUACACGUACUCGUGAACACAAUCAUGUGCGACUGAGCCAAGCAAAAACCAAUAUUCUUGCCGCCCAGAAGGAAUUGUAUGGUAAGAAACAUGUACAGCCUGAGAGAUAUAAUUUAUGGUUGGUCAAUUAGUCCUGAAACUAAAUCAUACUCGCAAAAAGACGAAAGGUGGGAAGCUGAAGAGGAGGUACACUGACCCUUAAAAAGUCAUCUCUGUUAAACCAUGCACGAGGUGCAUAUGAGAUAAGCGAUGGAUCAAACACAGUACUAGUGUCAGGACCCCAUCUCAAGUCGUACAAUGAUCCACCUACUUGCGAUUCUGGAUCAAUAGACUCUGCUCACUCUCCUCCUAAGGACUCUGCUCACCUGGAAUCCCCUCUUGAGGACUCCGCUCACACGACCUCCGCUCACCUGGAAUUGAGGACUCCGCUCACAUGGAGUCUCCUAAUGAGGACUCCGAUCACCUGGAAUCUGCUCAUUUGGACUUUGCUGAAUUACACCCCCCAUCAUAAUGAGGACUCCCCUAAGGUGGACUUUGCUCAACUGGACAUCACUUGUCUGGACUCUCAUCAUGACAUUUGAACAUUGCUCAAUUACACCCCCAUCCAAGAUUGUUUGUCACCAAUAGCACACAAUGGUACAAGUGGCUAGUUUCAGCCAGAUGAACCAUCAUUCUCGAUAUGGAUGAAAAAUGGCUACCGGCACCAAUGCUAUCUCUUAGCCAAAUGAUAUCAAAAACACCGCAACCUCAGUUUUGCAGCACACCAAAACGGCCCAGAUCUCGAACUCCAACAGUUCAGGGUGAAAUCAAGAAGAGGCGGCGUAUUCUCUCUUUGGCAACUCAUCAGAUGACUUCUCUCAUGUCACAACCCUGAAAUCGAUUCAAACUUCUUCCUUGAAAUCGAGUGAGACCCCCGUGUCGCACCCCUGAAGACCACUCGUGUCACGAAGACCCCCCUCCUCUGAAAUCAAGUGAGACCCCUCCGUGGCGCACCUCUAAAAUCGAUCAUAUCACACCCUCCUUCAAGCCGACUCAUCAGAACGUAACUCAGAGGAUGUUUAAUUGUAGGCAGGCCAAAAUACCUCAAACGGUCAUUGAGUGAUCAAGGAAGAACAUCAUUGAUGUAGACACUUCUCAUAGAUUGAAUAGGGAGAAACGGAAGUAGCGUCACGUGAGUUCGUACAGGUCGUAAACAAUCACCAUGGCCAUUGGCUUUGGCUCACAGUCUCUACUAUCGGUACUCGUUCACCCAGUGGUUAAUGUGUAUGACAGUAUGUAUCGGUUUGGAGUCAAAGCUCAGAUUGCAACUUUAGAGGCCAAAGAAAUCACUCUUAACUUCAUGAAUGUACAUAUUCAGGCAGGAGGAUGUGACUGUGGCUUGUUUGCUAUAGCCAAUGCAACAGCUCUUGCUUUUGGCCACUCACCUGGAAGCUUCCAGUACAAUCAAAAUAAAAUGAGGCAGCACUUGUUUUCUUGCUUUCAAAAGCAUUAAGAAGUAUCGUUGUGCUCCUGACUCAAUUGUGUCAAUCGAUAUACAUACCCCGUGUACUGCCUGUGCAGAAUGCCAGAGUUGGCGACUAUAGAAAACUGGGUGGAAUGCAGCACAUGCAAGGAGUGGUACCAUUACGGCACCUGUGUGAACGUUCCUGCCGCUUUUCUCAAAAAAUCAGCUGUUUGGCACUGUAUGCAGUGUCUAAACCACCCUAAGACGUAACUGUUAACCGUCCAUAAAUUAUGAACCAUGCACCCGUCUCUUUAUGUAUCUAUUCCCGGACAGAACUUCGGCAUUAUAAUUAUACGUAGUAGUAGUAACAUUAUUUUAUCAAGCUGUAAAACUGUCAAUCGUUAAUAGAUCUUUGUUUUGAAACAGUUGAAAACUGAGUAUUAAGAAUGUGGAGGCCUCAAGGUUCACAUGCAGCUCUAUCUAGUACACCUGGCUGACAAGCUAGGCUGUACAUGUAAUUCCUGAAUAUUAUGUGACUGCUUGUAUGUGCGUAUUUAUAAUUAUGUCGUAAAGAGGACACUAGGUUGCCCUACAUACGCUCCUGGUCCAGAGACGUCUUUUUAUACUAGCGCAACAAAAUAUUGUCUAUAGCUGGACUGAUUAUUUCAGGGGGGGACCAAUUUUUUCAGGCCAGUGACCCUGAUUAUCGAUUGUUAGUUAACUCCCAAGGUGGAGUUAUAGCGCAUGUAGCCAACUUUUACUUGUAGGCACCUCUUCUCAGGUAUGCGCUAAAAUGCCAAACACUCCUACGUCAAGGCACUGAUCUAGACAACUACAUAAAUGCCAGUUGGAGUCUUGCUAAAAGACAUUAGCUUUUGCAGUGCUACGUUUAUACGGU
Long non-coding RNA from Halichondria panicea, 6111 nucleotides. RefSeq lists it as uncharacterized. The transcript has 4 exons. Lineage: Eukaryota; Metazoa; Porifera; Demospongiae; Suberitida; Halichondriidae. The record is from RefSeq and is a predicted model, not a curated record.